GAAUUUCGAAACAUGGUUUAGUCUACCGCCUGAUAUUAAGAACAAAAGCAUUGAAGAUGAAACUACAAGUUUUUUUAAUCCUUACUUUUGUGCUUUUAGCAUCAUACGCCGAUUUAUCUGAAGGGGCUCCAAGAUGGAGUGGCUUCAAAAAGAUUGAGAGCUUCGGAAGAAAGGCAUUUAAGGUGGGGAAAAGGGUUUUACCGGUUGCAAUUGGAUAUGCUGGACUUAUUGGUGGACGAUAACAGCAGUUUGGACAAUAUAAUGGAUGGGCCAUGUUGAAUACCUUAUUUAAUUUUUAUAAAAUUGAAUGUAAUCUAAUCUAUAUUCACAAUUAACUUAGUAAAUUAUAUUGCAGCAUUUAUAA
This is a long non-coding RNA of Photinus pyralis (common eastern firefly), 364 nucleotides long. RefSeq lists it as uncharacterized. NCBI's taxonomy places the organism in Eukaryota, Metazoa, Arthropoda, Insecta, Coleoptera, Lampyridae. The record is from RefSeq and is a predicted model, not a curated record. The transcript is spliced from 2 exons.